GGGUUGUUAGCUCAGUUGGUAGAGCAAGUGACUCUUAAUCACUGGGUCGUAGGUUCGAGUCCUACACAACCCACCA
Molecule: transfer RNA, 76 nt
Filed under: Actinomycetales bacterium
Lineage: Bacteria; Bacillati; Actinomycetota; Actinomycetes; Actinomycetales
Also listed under: 2 other names
Description: tRNA-Lys
Rfam family: tRNA
About the family: Transfer RNA (tRNA) molecules are approximately 80 nucleotides in length. Their secondary structure includes four short double-helical elements and three loops (D, anti-codon, and T loops). Further hydrogen bonds mediate the characteristic L-shaped molecular structure. tRNAs have two regions of fundamental functional importance: the anti-codon, which is responsible for specific mRNA codon recognition, and the 3' end, to which the tRNAs corresponding amino acid is attached (by aminoacyl-tRNA synthetases). tRNAs cope with the degeneracy of the genetic code in two manners: having more than one tRNA (with a specific anti-codon) for a particular amino acid; and 'wobble' base-pairing, i.e. permitting non-standard base-pairing at the 3rd anti-codon position.
Source: RNAcentral